UCUUCGUUGGUGAACCAGCGGAGGGAUCAUUACAGGACUCGCAAGACUCCUACAACCCUGUGAACUUAACUAUAAGCACGUUGCUUCGGCGGGUGUCUCGGAGAGGGUUCUCCCUCCCCGGGGCGCUAAGCCCGCCGGCAGCCUACUAUACUCUGUCUCUUUGCGUUGGCAUCUCGAGUACAAACAAACAAGUUAAAACUUUCAACAACGGAUCUCUUGGUUCUG
This 225-nucleotide unclassified non-coding RNA is filed under the name plant metagenome. RNAcentral describes it as "partial contains small subunit ribosomal RNA, internal transcribed spacer 1, and 5.8S ribosomal RNA". The record is from RNAcentral.